GUGAGGAAUUUUGCGCAAUGGGGGAAACCCUGACGCAGCGACGCCGUGUGAGGGAAGAAGGCUUUCGGGUCGUAAACCUCUGUCAGGAAGGAAGAACCUCUCAAGGCUGAACAAGCCUUGGGACUGACGGUACUUCCAGAGGAAGCACCGGCUAACUCCGUGCCAGCAGCCGCGGUAAUACGGAGGGUGCAAGCGUUAAUCGGAAUCACUGGGCGUAAAGCGCGCGUAGGCCGUCUUUUAAGUCGGACGUGAAAGCCCUCGGCUGAACCGGGGAACUGGGUUCGAUACUGCGAGGGUUGAGUCCUGGAGAGGGUGGCGGAAUUCCGGGUGUAGGAGUGAAAUCCGUAGAUAUCCGGAGGAACACCGGUGGCGAAGGCGGCCACCUGGACAGGUACUGACGCUGAGGCGCGAAAGCGUGGGGAGCAAACAGGAUUAGAUACCCCGGUAGUCC
Molecule: ribosomal RNA, 451 nt
Filed under: uncultured bacterium
Lineage: Bacteria
Description: partial 16S ribosomal RNA
Rfam family: Bacterial small subunit ribosomal RNA
Source: RNAcentral